CGGGUAGCCGGCCUGAGAGGGUGUACGGCCACAUUGGGACUGAGAUACGGCCCAGACUCCUACGGGAGGCAGCAGUGGGGAAUAUUGCACAAUGGGCGCAAGCCUGAUGCAGCGACGCCGCGUGGGGGAUGACGGCCUUCGGGUUGUAAACCGCUUUCGCCUGUGACGAAGCGUGAGUGACGGUAAUGGGUAAAGAAGCACCGGCUAACUACGUGCCAGCAGCCGCGGUAAUACGUAGGGUGCAAGC
This 247-nucleotide ribosomal RNA is filed under the name Ditylum brightwellii. RNAcentral's name for it is "partial Bacterial small subunit ribosomal RNA". It matches the Rfam family "Bacterial small subunit ribosomal RNA", at positions 280 to 539 of the family's 1533-position model. Lineage: Eukaryota; Bacillariophyta; Thalassiosirophyceae; Lithodesmiales; Lithodesmiaceae. The record is from RNAcentral.